This 569-nucleotide ribosomal RNA is filed under the name Wolbachia sp. RNAcentral's name for it is "bacterial SSU rRNA". It matches the Rfam family "Bacterial small subunit ribosomal RNA", at positions 251 to 840 of the family's 1533-position model. The record is from RNAcentral. Lineage: Bacteria; Pseudomonadati; Pseudomonadota; Alphaproteobacteria; Rickettsiales; Anaplasmataceae.
GGUGGAGUAAUAGCCUACCAAGGCAAUGAUCUAUAGCUGAUCUGAAAGGAUGAUCAGCCACACUGGAACUGAGAUACGGUCCAGACUCCUACGGGAGGCAGCAGUGGGGAAUAUUGGACAAUGGGCGAAAGCCUGAUCCAGCCAUGCCGCAUGAGUGAAAAAGGCCUUUGGGUUGUAAAGCUCUAUUAGUGAGGAAGAUAAUGACGGUACUCACAGAAAAAGUCCUGGCUAACUCCGUGCCAGCAGCCGCGGUAAUACGGAGAGGGCUAGCGUUAUUCUGAAUUAUUGGGCGUAAAGGGCGCGUAGGCUGAUUAAUAAGUUAAAAGUGAAAUCCCGAGGCUUAACCUUGGAAUUGCUUUUAAAACUAUUAAUCUAGAGAUUGAAAGAGGAUAGAGGAAUUCCUGAUGUACAGGUAAAAUUCGUAAAUAUUAGGAGGAACACCAGUGGCGAAGGCGUCUAUCUGGUUCAAAUCUGACGCUGAAGCGCGAAGGCGUGGGGAGCAAACAGGAUUAGAUACCCUGGUAGUCCACGCUGUAAACGAUGAAUGUUAAAUAUGGGAAGUUUACUUU